CCUACGGGCGGCAGCAGUGAGGAAUAUUGGUCAAUGGACGAGAGUCUGAACCAGCCAAGUAGCGUGAAGGAUGACUGCCCUAUGGGUUGUAAACUUCUUUUAUAUGGGAAUAAAAUGUUCCACGUGUGGGAUUUUGUAUGUACCAUAUGAAUAAGGAUCGGCUAACUCCGUGCCAGCAGCCGCGGUAAUACGGAGGAUCCGAGCGUUAUCCGGAUUUAUUGGGUUUAAAGGGAGCGUAGGUGGAUUGUUAAGUCAGUUGUGAAAGUUUGCGGCUCAACCGUAAAAGUGCAGUUGAAACUGGCAGUCUUGAGUACAGUAGAGGUGGGCGGAAUGCGUGGUGUAGCGGUGAAAUGCUUAGAUAUCACGAAGAACUCCGAUUGCGAAGGCAGUUCACUGGACUGCAACUGACACUGAGGCUCGAAAGUGUGGGUAUCAAACAGGAUUAGAUACCCCAGUAGUC
RNAcentral lists this ribosomal RNA (460 nucleotides) under uncultured bacterium. RNAcentral describes it as "partial 16S ribosomal RNA". It matches the Rfam family "Bacterial small subunit ribosomal RNA", at positions 338 to 795 of the family's 1533-position model. The record is from RNAcentral.